CGUCCUACGGGAGGCAGCAGUGGGGAAUAUUGCGCAAUGGGGGAAACCCUGACGCAGCAGCGCCGCGUGAGUGAAGACGUAUCUCGGUAUGUAAAGCUCUAUCAGCGGGGAAGAAGGAAGACGGUACCCGACUAAGAAGCCCCGGCUAACUACGUGCCAGCAGCCGCGGUAAUACGUAGGGGGUGAGCGUUAUCCGGAUUUACUGGGUGUAAAGGGAGCGUAGACGGCGUCGCAAGUCUGAAGUGAAAGCCAGUGGCUCAACCGCGGAACCGCUUUGGAAACUGCGAGGCUGGAGGGAUGGAGAG
This 305-nucleotide ribosomal RNA is filed under the name uncultured bacterium. Its description in RNAcentral is "bacterial SSU rRNA". It matches the Rfam family "Bacterial small subunit ribosomal RNA", at positions 335 to 656 of the family's 1533-position model. The record is from RNAcentral.